GAUGAACGCUAGCGGCAGGCCUAACACAUGCAAGUCGAACGGUAACAGGGGAGAGCUUGCUCUUUCGCUGACGAGUGGGCACGGGUGCGUAACGCGUAUGCAACUUACCCCUAACUAGAGAAUAGCCUUUCGAAAGGAAGAUAAUACUCUAUAAUAUUUCUCUGUGGCAUCACAGAGUUCUUAAAGCUUCGGCGGUUAGGGAUGGGCAUGCGUCCUAUUAGUUUGUUGGUGAGGUAACGGCUCACCAAGACUACGAUAGGUAGGGGGUCUGAGAGGAUUAUCCCCCACACUGGUACUGAGACACGGACCAG
This 311-nucleotide ribosomal RNA is filed under the name uncultured bacterium. Its description in RNAcentral is "bacterial SSU rRNA". It matches the Rfam family "Bacterial small subunit ribosomal RNA", at positions 28 to 334 of the family's 1533-position model. The record is from RNAcentral.